RNAcentral lists this ribosomal RNA (264 nucleotides) under uncultured bacterium. RNAcentral's name for it is "partial 16S ribosomal RNA". It matches the Rfam family "Bacterial small subunit ribosomal RNA", at positions 8 to 263 of the family's 1533-position model. The record is from RNAcentral.
AGAGUUUGAUCCUGGCUCAGGACGAACGCUGGCGGCGCGCCUAACACAUGCAAGUCGAGCGGAGACAGUGAGUAGCUUGCUAUGAGCUGUUUUAGCGGCGGACGGGUGAGUAACGCGUGAGCAACCUUUCCCAGACAGGGGAAUAACACACCGAAAGGUGUACUAAUACCGCAUAAGACCACGGGAUCACAUGGUUCUGGGGUAAAAAGAUUUUAUCGGUUUGGGGUGGGCUCGCGUCCGAUUAGGUAGUUGGUGAGGUAACGG